Molecule: long non-coding RNA, 615 nt
Filed under: Jatropha curcas
Lineage: Eukaryota; Viridiplantae; Streptophyta; Magnoliopsida; Malpighiales; Euphorbiaceae
Description: long non-coding RNA (JCUR_LNC001489)
Source: RNAcentral
GAAAUAACAUAUAUUUUCUAUAAGUGAACAAGAAAAAAACUUAAACAGCUCAAACUCCAAACUAAUCCAUGGUCAAAAGACUUGCUCGAUCUGUACAAUUUAGGACUGAAAAAAUUAAGUGAAAAAACCUGAAACAGAUAUCAAAAGAAGAAUGGGGACCAAAAAGCUCGAGGACUCCUCCCACCCACACAGAAAGACCGGCUUUUAACAAAGUACUCACACCAAUUAGCGAUGAGCUUGUCUACAAACCCAAUGCAAGAAAACCAACUCCCUGCUACAAUAAAAGUUUGCAAUCUUAGAUAACAUCUUCAAUAGACUGCACAGGCAUUAAAACAUAUCUUAGCAGUCUAUUUCAACAUCAUUAUCACAUAAAUCUUGUUGCAACACCCAACGAGAAAUCUCUCUCAGAGCCCCAGCUUCAGCCAUCCUUCCUAGGCGUUUGAGAAACCUGAAAUGAACAGCCCAAGGACCACAUCGAGACACACCAAUUUGUCUUCUGGAAUUGCCAAGAGCAGCGCCUAUUUUGCACUUGUACCUGCCUUCGACAGGCUUCUGCCAUCCAGUUGGACCUGCAUGCACGCAAAUUAAUUGACGGGGAGGUGAGGCCACUUUCAA